RNAcentral lists this ribosomal RNA (454 nucleotides) under uncultured bacterium. RNAcentral describes it as "bacterial SSU rRNA". It matches the Rfam family "Bacterial small subunit ribosomal RNA", at positions 28 to 465 of the family's 1533-position model. The record is from RNAcentral.
GAUGAACGCUAGCUACAGGCUUAACACAUGCAAGUCGAGGGGAAACGAUAGAGAAAGCUUGCUUUUUCUAGGCGUCGACCGGCGCACGGGUGAGUAACGCGUAUCCAACCUGCCCAUCACUUGGGGAUAACCUUGCGAAAGUAAGACUAAUACCCAAUGAUAUCUCUAGAAGACAUCUGAAAGAGAUUAAAGAUUUAUCGGUGAUGGAUGGGGAUGCGUCUGAUUAGCUUGUUGGCGGGGUAACGGCCCACCAAGGCGACGAUCAGUAGGGGUUCUGAGAGGAAGGUCCCCCCACAUUGGAACUGAGACACGGUCCAAACUCCUACGGGAGGCAGCAGUGAGGAAUAUUGGGUCAAAUUGGGACGAGAGUCUGAACCAGCCAAGUAGCGUGCAGGAUGACGGCCCUAUGGGUGUAAACUGCUUUUAUAAGGGAAUAAAGUGAGUCUCGUGAGGC